This 31-nucleotide non-coding RNA is filed under the name Drosophila erecta. RNAcentral also lists the same sequence under 8 other names. The record is from RNAcentral. Lineage: Eukaryota; Metazoa; Arthropoda; Insecta; Diptera; Drosophilidae.
UGACCUCGGAUCAGGUAGGGAUACCCGCUGA